Long non-coding RNA from Ornithodoros turicata, 582 nucleotides. RefSeq lists it as uncharacterized. The record is from RefSeq and is a predicted model, not a curated record. The transcript has 2 exons. Lineage: Eukaryota; Metazoa; Arthropoda; Arachnida; Ixodida; Argasidae.
UGAAGUCAGUUCAAAAGGUGGAGAUGAGGAGGUCGAAGAAAGGUGCUGGAGGCUCCGCCAGCUGAAGAAGCUGAACCUUCAAGUGCAGUUGGCGAGCAUCAAGGCCUGAAAAGAUGGCCAUGGUUCCGGUGGGACAGGAUUCUCCAGGACAGCUGGAGGAGUGGCGUCCACCGCAGAGCAAGGACAACAUCCGCCUGCCUCUAGCGAGUGGCACCGAGGGCGGUUCCCGCGGAGAGCCGCUACGUGAGGCCCUCAGCCCCUUCUUCAAGGUCCUGCUGGGUUUCCUUUUACUGGCAUUGAUCCUGGCUUUUGUGUGGAGGAAGCAUCUGAUAGGACAUUCCCUCAGACCAGAAGCGAUGACGCUCAGCUUCGACAACAGCAGUGUCUCCUCGCCCCUCAACAUUACCCUCUGAGAUCAUCAGUUGUACACUAACGCCCCCGUACGAGUAAAAUUGUGUUACAAUAUACAACAGCAGUCUGUAUAGCAUGGCUAACAGAAAUGGUUAGAGUCACCAAUAUUACGAGUCAUAUAAUCAAUCCCCCAAUCAUCAUCAUUAAAAUCAAGUUGUUGUUGUUGUUUUA